UGCCCGAUUGUGUAACGGUAGCACACUGGAUUUUGGUUCCAUUUGUCCAGGUUCGAAUCCUGGUCGGGCAGCCA
RNAcentral lists this transfer RNA (74 nucleotides) under Puniceicoccales bacterium. RNAcentral's name for it is "tRNA-Gln". It matches the Rfam family "tRNA". Rfam says of the family: Transfer RNA (tRNA) molecules are approximately 80 nucleotides in length. Lineage: Bacteria; Pseudomonadati; Verrucomicrobiota; Opitutia; Puniceicoccales. The record is from RNAcentral.